UCUUGUUACAAUACAAUACUGAAAUUAAAAUUUUAUUUACCCAGGAAGUGCUCCCAAGAGAAGUCUUUGAAAAUGGCAACCCAAGUUUUUGGGGGGCUCCGAAAGCAGCUGAACUUGAGAAAACAGUCAUAUCAAGGAAUCCUUGGAAAAUGUCUACGUAGGAUCCUGAAACCAUCCUAUUCCAAAUGAGAGUAUACAUUUUCCUGUGUUUGA
Molecule: long non-coding RNA, 213 nt
Filed under: Ictidomys tridecemlineatus (thirteen-lined ground squirrel)
Lineage: Eukaryota; Metazoa; Chordata; Mammalia; Rodentia; Sciuridae
Description: lncRNA (ENSSTOG00000034618.1)
Source: RNAcentral